AAUUGGCGGCGGGGGCGGGGGGUCGAUGUCUCACUUUUUUGCCCAGGCUGGUCUCGAACUCCUGGCUUCAAGGGAUCCUCCUGCCUCGGCCUCUUAAAGUGCUGGGAUUACAGGCGUGAGCCACCGCCCCCGGCCGCCUCUGAGUUUCCAGCCUCGUUGGCCCUCCAGCCUUUUAACCUGUUGGGCCUAGGAUCAGGAAAGGUUUGUUGAAUGGGGAACUAAGAAGUGAAUUCGUUCGUUCGACAAACGUUUCCUGAGCAGCCGCUGGGUGCUAGGCGCAGUGCCAGCGCGGAAUGUCCAGGGAGACCUGGUGCCCAAAGCUUGGACCCAUCGUGAGAAAUGAGAAGCAGAUACAAAGCAGUGUGGGAGUGCAGAGGAGACAAAGCAAGCCUCAUCAGGCCCAUUGCUUGCUCUGCUCUCCCUUGUACUUACCAGUGCUUGACAAUAUACAGUUAUUUACUAGCUUGGUUAUUGACUUCCUACCCAGCACUCAGUUUUAUUCACUGCUGUAUCCUCAGUGCCUAGGACGAUGCUUGGAACGUGAUUCAUUGAUUCCAGGUAAAUCAGAGGAACAAGCAACAUGAACAGAAAUAUGUAGAAAAAGCUAUUAUGCAGAAGCAUAAUUGUUGUUUCAGAAGUCCAGCAUCUGGUGCACUUAACAAUAGAGAAUAUAUUAAACUCUUUCCAAAAUAACCUGUUGUUCCUACCUGUGUUGUAAGUGUUUUGUUUGUUUUUAAGUAAAUAUUGGUGAUUUGUUGCCAAAAACCUAAACUGUUUGUUGCUGUCAACUUAAAUAACGAACAGAGAGAGGCUCUCUAAAAGAAAAUGGCAUUUAUUCAGGAAUAGAGCACUGCAAUGAGAAAAUGCAUGCGAUAGUUAACUGUGUGUAUCCUGGGAGAUAGAGGAAGACAAAGGUCUUUAAAGGAAAAAUGAGGAGGGUUACAUAAUUGUUUUGAGAUAAUUAUUUUUGACUACAAGGAUCAGUAACAAAGGUGACACCAGUCCCAGGUUGGACAGGCAGGUGCUCGGCAGGCAUUGCAGAAGUAUUUUUUGUGUAAGAUUGAGAUGGCCUUUGUGCAGGAUUGUGGUUUUGGAAUCUUCUGUGAUCGUUUUUGCUAUCAGGCAUUUAUGCUUGCGAACUCUUUAUGGCCUUCCCUGUGUCUAUUUUGAUUCCACCUUUCUCAUUGCCCACUCUAAACUGUAAUUCUGCUUUUAUGUUGACUGAGAUCAGGAGAAGAAUUUGCAAACUUAUAUCCUGAGACAGAACAGUAAUGAGGAGUAUCGUGUUCCUUACCUAAUGUAUAAUAUUGGGCUCAGAAGCAGUUGUCUUUUUUAUUUGUUGAACGUUGUAUUAAGUUGAGAAUGCAGCUGCCAUUAAAGAUUAAGAGUAAUCCUUGAGAAGGAAGAGUACAAAGCCUGUGUUUUGCUAAAUCAUAGUGAAGUUGCCGUGUUUUUGUAGAAUAUGAUAAGAACAUACAGUGUGUGAAAUGCUAAGGAUAUGGAAAAGCAUGUUGGUGCUCUUUCAAGGAGCUAUUUUGAUAGCAUGAGCAAGGGCAGGAAACAGAUCAUGUAUCUGAACCAAAGAAAUUGAAACAAUACAUCUAAAUUUAAAUUUUUAAUAAAACAACCCAAAAUAU
This is a long non-coding RNA of Homo sapiens (human), 1637 nucleotides long. Ensembl annotates it as small nucleolar RNA host gene 10. Its record names the gene SNHG10. NCBI's taxonomy places the organism in Eukaryota, Metazoa, Chordata, Mammalia, Primates, Hominidae. The record is from Ensembl.